CAAAACGACAUCCAUGCCCCCCUACUUUCCUCUUCUCGCAGAACCAGUGACCCAUGAUUUCUCAAACUUGAAUCAUCCCUCUCUUAGAUAGGGCAGUGGAGCUCCCCCAAAACCCACAAAUCUCUUCACUUAUAACCCCUAUUUCGAAUCUUUGCACCACAGAAAGGAUUCGUAUUGCCCUGUUUUCCUCAUUCACGACUUUGCUUCUAUCCAUAUCACCCG
Molecule: unclassified non-coding RNA, 222 nt
Filed under: Hevea brasiliensis (rubber tree)
Lineage: Eukaryota; Viridiplantae; Streptophyta; Magnoliopsida; Malpighiales; Euphorbiaceae
Source: RNAcentral